This 226-nucleotide ribosomal RNA is filed under the name uncultured bacterium. RNAcentral's name for it is "partial 16S ribosomal RNA". It matches the Rfam family "Bacterial small subunit ribosomal RNA", at positions 15 to 230 of the family's 1533-position model. The record is from RNAcentral.
GAUCAUGGCUCAGGAUGAACGCUAGCUACAGGCUUAACACAUGCAAGUCGAGGGGGCGAGCAUGGUCUUAGCUUGCUAAGGCCGAUGGCGACCGGCGCACGGGUGAGUAACACGUAUCCAACCUGCCGUCUAUUCUUGGACAGCCUUCUGAAAGGAAGAUUAAUACAAGAUGGCAUCAUGAGUCCGCAUGUUCACAUGAUUAAAGGUAUUCUGGUAGACGAUGGGG